RNAcentral lists this ribosomal RNA (779 nucleotides) under uncultured archaeon. Its description in RNAcentral is "bacterial SSU rRNA". It matches the Rfam family "Archaeal small subunit ribosomal RNA", at positions 195 to 975 of the family's 1478-position model. The record is from RNAcentral.
UCCGGCGGCAUAGGAUGGGCCUGCGCCGUAUCAGGUUGUAGGGGGUGUAAAGUACCCUCUAGCCAUCAACGCGUACGGGUGUUGGGAGACAUUGCCCGGAGAUGGAUUCUGAGACACGAAUCCAGACCCUACGGGGUGCAGCAGGCGCGAAAACUUGGCAAUGCGAGCAAUCGUGACCAGGGAACUCCAAGUGCGUAGGGUAAGACCUACGCUUUUCUUGACUCUUCAAAGGUCUUGGAAUAAGGGGUGGGUAAGGACGGUGCCAGCCGCCGCGGUAAUACCGGCGCCUCAAGUGGUAGUCGCUUUUAUUGGGCCUAAAACGUCCGUAGCCGGUCUGGUACAUUCGUGGGUAAAUCAACCCGCUCAACGGGUUGAAUUCUGCGAGCACGGCCAGACUUGGGACCGGGAGAGGUGUGGGGUACUCUCAGGGUAGGGGUAAAAUCCUGUCAUCCUGAGAGGACCACCUGUUGCGAAGGCGCCACACUAGAACGGAUCCGACGGUCAGGGACGAAACCUAGGGGCACGAACCGGAUUAGAUACCCGGGUAGUCCUAGGUGUAAACGCUGUGGACUUGAUGUUGGGGGCGCUCCGAGCGCUCUCAGUGUCGAAGCGAAGGUGAUAAGUCCACUGCCUGAGGAGUACGGUCGCAAGGCUGAAACUUAAAGGAAUUGGCGGGGGAGCACUGCAACCUGAGGAUUGUGCGGUUUAAUUGGAUUCAACGCCGGAAAACUCACCAUGGCCGACGGACAAAUGAAAGCCAGUGUAACGAGCUUGCUGGA